Non-coding RNA from Pelobates cultripes (western spadefoot toad), 218 nucleotides. The record is from the annotation of a GenBank genome assembly. NCBI's taxonomy places the organism in Eukaryota, Metazoa, Chordata, Amphibia, Anura, Pelobatidae.
CCUAAAGGCCUAAGGCUGGCCCUGAAUACACCUUACAGUUGACCAUGGAAUAUCUAGCAGGGAUGAAACUUCAAGAUCUGAUUUAUUGCAAAGGUAGAAUCCAAUCACAGGAACACAUUUGAAUUCACUGAGUUGUUCAGAAUGAUCCAUUUUUUCACAAAUGCUUGUAAAUGCAGACUGCAUGGUGACGUGCUUAAUUUUAUGCACCUGUGGCUAUU